GAUGAAGAACGCAGCGAAAUGCGAUAAGUAGUGUGAAUUGCAGAAUUCAGUGAAUCAUCGAAUCUUUGAACGCACAUUGCGCCCCUUGGUAUUCCAUGGGGCAUGCCUGUUCGAGCGUCAUUUGUACCUUCAAGCUUUGCUUGGUGUUGGGUGUUUGUCUCGCCUUUGCGUGUAGACUCGCCUUAAAAUAAUUGGCAGCCGGCGUAUUGAUUUCGGAGCGCAGUACAUCUCGCGCUUUGCACUCAUAACGACAGCGUCCAAAAGUACAUUUUACACUCUUGACCUCGGAUCAGGUAGGGAUACCCGCUGAACUUAAGCAUAUCAAUAAACGGAGGA
RNAcentral lists this unclassified non-coding RNA (336 nucleotides) under soil metagenome. RNAcentral describes it as "partial contains 5.8S ribosomal RNA, internal transcribed spacer 2, and large subunit ribosomal RNA". The stretch from base 1 to 120 matches the Rfam family "5.8S ribosomal RNA", at positions 35 to 154 of the family's 154-position model. The record is from RNAcentral.